This is a long non-coding RNA of Alosa sapidissima (American shad), 93 nucleotides long. RefSeq lists it as uncharacterized. The transcript is spliced from 2 exons. The record is from RefSeq and is a predicted model, not a curated record. Lineage: Eukaryota; Metazoa; Chordata; Actinopteri; Clupeiformes; Clupeidae.
GCUAACUAGGUUGUUGGUGCUUCGUUUUAUGUGUAGAGACCCUAAGCAAGCUACUGAUGAGGUUUGGUGCUGUUUUGAACAAUAUUACUGGUU